Long non-coding RNA from Oncorhynchus kisutch (coho salmon), 1283 nucleotides. RefSeq lists it as uncharacterized. Lineage: Eukaryota; Metazoa; Chordata; Actinopteri; Salmoniformes; Salmonidae. The transcript is spliced from 3 exons. The record is from RefSeq and is a predicted model, not a curated record.
ACCCUCAUUCUUAUCUCAUAUCAACGUGCUACGUAAUAAUCAAUAACUAGAUUAUUGAAUGUUCUUCUUUCAGCAAAAUGAGACGUGGCGAUAAGUUCUCAGACACUAAGUUCCUGAGUUCUCCCAUUUUUAAAGAGAACAAGAAGAAAGAACUAUAGAAAAGGUACACAAAGUUUGGAGAGCCUUCAUGUCUGUUAGUUGACUGAUGGAAAUGUUAUUUCAUUUAUUAUUAGAGAUGUUUCUAGUACUUGUUUUGUUUCCCCCUAUGUUUUAAAAUAUAUAUAUAUAUUUUAAAUGUCGUUUGUUGAUUUAGCACCCCCUUUUAUUAUAUUCAUGAAGGAAUGAAUACUUCAAUAAGCCAACAUGUAGAUGUAUAGUUUGAUAAUGUUUUUUAAUGACUUGGGUCAAUUAGCUAUUGCAUGGGUGUUCAACUCAUCCUUAGGUGACAGACUGUACCAUCCAGCUAAUUCACUGUAUGGCUGUGUCAUAUUAUGGUUAAGUGAUGACCAAUGCACCUCUCCUUUUGUUUCUAACAUAAUCUGGACCCGUGAUGUUGGAGUUACUGACUGGGAGACCCUGUUUGAAUUAUUCAGAGUAGUUCAGCUGAGAGGAUCGUGGCUUUAUGUCUGCUCCCCUCUGCCUCUACUGUACACAGCCUAACUACAGACAGAGCAACGAUGCUGGGCUCGUUCAAGGCGAUGGACCACUCCAGGACGCAUACCCAGAAGGUGAAGUGGUGGCUGUCUGUGCAGGGUAACGGAGGUGCUGCCCCUGCUGUACAGAGGGCCUUGGUGCAGUCCUCCUCCGCAUCCACAUCUAACACCUUCCUCAGUGUGAGUGGCACUCAUAGACAAAUAUUAUAUUUGCAUAUUGUUUAUAUAAAUCAUUGGUGACAUAAGCAUGUACCCAUGCAUGCCAUUUCAGCCCACAAAGCUUAUGCUUCAUACUUUCUGGCUCUGAGAAGACUUUACAUGUAAAGCAGUAGUGAAUUUGACCAUUUCAACAAACAUUCCAACAUUGUUAUCAAGUUGAAAAAUACUGUUGGAAGGGACUCUAACGCCACCUUGUGUUUUAAUCUGGAACUCCUGUUUACUGUCCGUGUUAUCAUAUCACUAGUGGUUUCCUCUAAGUAUCACUCUAGUGUGUUAUCAUAUCACUAGUGGUUUCCUCUAUAUCUGGUUUUACCGGUCUGUAAGGAAUCAAAUGUUUCACUACACCAUAUACAUUACUGUACAAUUAAUGUACACUCUGUAACAAAUAAAUAUGUAUUGCCUAUGUGGAAA